Molecule: long non-coding RNA, 712 nt
Filed under: Nicotiana benthamiana
Lineage: Eukaryota; Viridiplantae; Streptophyta; Magnoliopsida; Solanales; Solanaceae
Description: long non-coding RNA (NBEN_LNC023043)
Source: RNAcentral
CAAUUUUAUCAGCAUAAAGGCCUUUUACAUGUAUACACGGAGAGAGGCUGUGCAAAAGAAGUCGCUGUUCCUCCUUCAAAGCAAGAAUUUGGUCUCCCAAAUCAAGAGCAAAACAGCAUCUUUCGAGUUGCCAAACAAUACAUGGAGUUAGUGUCCAGCUGCUCCCGCAGUUUUGGAUAGAACCCCUUAUGCAAGUCCAUUCUGCUUAAAUCAUUUCAACCGCUGUACAGGCAUUGACCUGGCUGGUAUAGAUAAUGGUACAGUGAAUUCCUUGGUAAAACUGCAAGAUCACAAUGUUCUGCUUCAUUUACUGCAAACCUGAAGCCUGUUUCCAGUUUUACCCACCUGAAUCUUUUCUCCUCUUGCUUGUCCUGGUGCCCUUGGGUCUCGAAGUCUCAGCAGGCUCUGAGUCGAGCAGCUUUUGCGUUGAAGGGCUGCCUGUGCUUGUGGGGACAGAAUUAUGAGGAGGUUCUCUUUCUUCUUUGCAAUCCGUCUCCAAAGCAUCUUGACAUGGAAGUUUCUCGUAUAACUUGAAGGGCUGCCUGUGAUUGUGGGGACAGAAUUAUGAGGAGGUUCUCUUUCUUCUUUGCAAUCCGUCUCCAAAGCAUCUUGACAUGGAAGUUUCUCGUAUAAAACAGCAGAGUCCAAGACAUACACACGGAGAGCGAGCCCUGAGAGUGUCGAGAUUCUUGCUGCAGCUGAAGGUGAUGAC